UGAAUACGAGACGCUAAGGCGUCGAAGUAGUGUAUGUCAUACUUCCAAGAAGAGCUUGCACUGUCAUAGAUAAAAAACGCCUGUACCAUAACCGACACAGGUGGGUAGGUAGAGUAUACUAAGGGGCGCGAGAUAACUCUCUCUAAGGAACUCGGCAAAAUAACUCCGUAACUUCGGGAGAAGGAGUGCCUUAUUCGUAAGGUUGCAAUAACAAGAUCCAAGCAACUGUUUAUCAAAAACACAGGUCUCCGCUAAGUCGUAAGACGAUGUAUGGGGGCUGACGCCUGCCCAGUGCCAGAAGGUUAAAGAAGUUGGUUAGCAAUUGCGAAGCUGAUAACUGAAGCCCUGGUGAACGGCGGCCGUAACUAUAACGGUCCUAAGGUAGCGAAAUUCCUUGUCGGGUAAGUUCCGACCCGCACGAAAGGCGUAAUGAUUUGGAUACUGUCUCGGAGAGGGGCUCGGUGAAAUAGACUUGUCUGUGAAGAUGCGGACUACCUGCACCAGGACAGAAAGACCCUAUGAAGCUUUACUGUAACUUGAAAUUGAAAUUGGACUUUAUUCGCGCAGUAUAGGUGGGAGGCGUUGAUUAUAAUCUUGUGGGAUUAUUGGAGCCAUCAGUGAGAUACCACUCUUGUAAUGUUAGAUUUCUAACUUUGAAUCAUUAUCUGGUCAAAGAACAGUUUCAGGCGGGCAGUUUGACUGGGGCGGUCGCCUCCUAAACGGUAACGGAGGCGUACAAAGGUUUCCUCUGAACGGUUAGAAAUCGUAUCUAGAGUGUAAAGGCAUAAGGAAGCUUGACUGUGAGACCUACAAGUCGAGCAGGGACGAAAGUCGGUCUUAGUGAUCUGACGGUACUGAGUGGAAAGGCCGUCACUCAACGGAUAAAAGUUACUCUAGGAUAACAGGCUGAUCUCCCCCAAGAGUUCACAUCGACGGGGAGGUUUGGCACCUCGAUGUCGGCUCAUCGCAUCCUGGGGCGGUAGUACGUCCCAAGGGUUGGGCUGUUCGCCCAUGAAAGCGGUACGCGAGCUGGGUUCAGAACGUCGUGAGACAGUUCGGUCCAUAUCCGGUGUAGGCGUUAGAAUAUUGAGAGGAGCCUUCUUUAGUACGAGAGGACCGAGAAGGACAUACCUCUGGUGUACCAGUUAUCGUGCCAACGGUAAACGCUGGGUAGCUAUGUAUGGAGUGGAUAACCGCUGAAAGCAUCUAAGUGGGAAGCCCACCUCAAGAUAAGUAUUCUCA
This 1242-nucleotide ribosomal RNA is filed under the name metagenome. RNAcentral's name for it is "bacterial LSU rRNA". It matches the Rfam family "Bacterial large subunit ribosomal RNA", at positions 1564 to 2816 of the family's 2925-position model. The record is from RNAcentral.